CACGUAGGGUGCGAGCGUCGUCCGGAAUUAUUGGGCGUAAAGAGCUCGUAGGCGGUGUGUCACGUCGGCCGUGAAAACCUGGGGCUUAACUCUGGGCGUGCGGUCGAUACGGGCAUCACUAGAGUUCGGCAGGGGAGACUGGAAUUCCUGGUGUAGCGGUGAAAUGCGCAGAUAUCAGGAGGAACACCGGUGGCGAAGGCGGGUCUCUGGGCCGAUACUGACGCUGAGGAGCGAAAGCAUGGGUAGCGAACAGG
This 254-nucleotide ribosomal RNA is filed under the name uncultured bacterium. Its description in RNAcentral is "partial 16S ribosomal RNA". It matches the Rfam family "Bacterial small subunit ribosomal RNA", at positions 524 to 776 of the family's 1533-position model. The record is from RNAcentral.